GUGAUGGCUCAGUGAGGCCUUGGGACUGGCUCAGGAGGGUUGGCAACGACCCCCCAGAGCCGGAAACUUGGUCAAACUCGGUCAUUUAGAGGAAGUAAAAGUCGUAACAAGGUUUCCGUAGGUGAACCUGCGGAAGGAUCAUUACUGAGUGAGGGCCCUCUGGGUCCAACCUCCCACCCGUGUUUAUUGUACCUUGUUGCUUCGGUGCGCCCGCCUCACGGCCGCCGGGGGGCUUCUGCCCCCGGGUCCGCGCGCACCGGAGACACUAUUGAACUCUGUCUGAAGAUUGCAGUCUGAGCAUAAACUAAAUAAGUUAAAACUUUCAACAACGGAUCUCUUGGUUCCGGCAUCGAUGAAGAACGCAGCGAAAUGCGAUAACUAAUGUGAAUUGCAGAAUUCAGUGAAUCAUCGAGUCUUUGAACGCACAUUGCGCCCCCUGGUAUUCCGGGGGGCAUGCCUGUCCGAGCGUCAUUGCUGCCCUCAAGCACGGCUUGUGUGUUGGGCUCCGUCCCCCCGGGGACGGGUCCGAAAGGCAGCGGCGGCACCGAGUCCGGUCCUCGAGCGUAUGGGGCUUUGUCACCCGCUCUGUAGGCCCGGCCGGCGCCAGCCGACAACCAAUCAUCCUUUUUUCAGGUUGACCUCGGAUCAGGUAGGGAUACCCGCUGAACUUAAGCAUAUCAAUAAGCGGAGGAAAAGAAACCAACAGGGAUUACCUCAGUAACGGCGAGUGAAGCGGUAAGAGCUCAAAUUUGAAAGCUGGCUCCUUCGGGGUCCGCAUUGUAAUUUGCAGAGGAUGUUUCGGGAGCAGCCCCCAUCUAAGUGUCCUGGAACGGACCGUCAUAGAGGGUGAGAAUCCCGUAUGGGAUGGGGUGUCUG
RNAcentral lists this ribosomal RNA (876 nucleotides) under Penicillium sp. 24 BRO-2013. Its description in RNAcentral is "eukaryotic LSU rRNA". The stretch from base 636 to 876 matches the Rfam family "Eukaryotic large subunit ribosomal RNA", at positions 1 to 238 of the family's 3401-position model. The record is from RNAcentral. Lineage: Eukaryota; Fungi; Ascomycota; Eurotiomycetes; Eurotiales; Aspergillaceae.